UUGGAGGGCAAGUCUGGUGCCAGCAGCCGCGGUAAUUCCAGCUCCAAUAGCGUAUAUUAAAGUUGUUGCAGUUAAAAAGUUCGUAGUUGAAUUUCGGGAUCGACGUGACGGUCGUGCCUCACGGGGCACGAACUGCCGCUGUCGAUUUCUCACCUUCUGGAGAAGCUCGAUGUCCUUAACUGGGCGUCUUGUGGAACCAGGACCUUUACCUUGAAAAAAUUAGAGUGUUUAAAGCAGGCAUUUUUUGCUCGAAUACAUUAGCAUGGAAUAAUAGAAUAGGACGGCAUGGUUCUAUUUUGUUGGUUUCUAGGAUCACCGUAAUGAUUAAUAGGGAUAGUUGGGGGCAUUAGUAUUCAAUUGUCGGAGGUGAAAUUCUUGGAUUUAUUGAAGACUAACUACUGCGAAAGCAUUUGCCAAGGAUGUUUUCAUUAAUCAAGAACGAAAGUUAGGGGAUCGAAGACGAUCAGAUACCGUCGUAGUCUUAACCAUAAACUAUGCCGACUAGGAAUCAGACGAUGUUAAUUUUUUAAUGACUCGUUUGGCACCUUACGGGAAAC
This 557-nucleotide ribosomal RNA is filed under the name uncultured Glomus. Its description in RNAcentral is "SSU rRNA". It matches the Rfam family "Eukaryotic small subunit ribosomal RNA", at positions 548 to 1098 of the family's 1831-position model. The record is from RNAcentral. Lineage: Eukaryota; Fungi; Glomeromycota; Glomeromycetes; Glomerales; Glomeraceae.